Cloeon dipterum is the source of this 1816-nucleotide long non-coding RNA. RefSeq lists it as uncharacterized. The record is from RefSeq and is a predicted model, not a curated record. NCBI's taxonomy places the organism in Eukaryota, Metazoa, Arthropoda, Insecta, Ephemeroptera, Baetidae. The transcript is spliced from 8 exons.
ACGCAUUGAAAUUUAACAAAUAGAUACAUAAAUUAAUUUUUAGAAAUCACACCUUUUUCGAUGUGUCUAAUUCAGCUAAUUUUUGCAGAAUGGAAUCUACAUGCAUGCAGCACAGCACAGAUUUCGCAGAAUCGUCUCUCUGGGUGCAGGGCUAGGAUCGUGAUUCGCUGCUCACUCUUCCAGCAGUGUUGAUUGCAAAGAUGCUGAAAUCCUUGGAAUGUAUACAAGUGCGAGGCCAGGCCAUAAUAAGACAACGGUGGCAGCAGCCCCCAUUGGAUUAAAUCUCCAUGCAACCGAGGCUCCAGGAUCUCCAAAAGUUUCGGGAGGCGUGAUGAAGGAAAAGCACCCCAAGACCCAAGACCUCCGAGUAGCAUGCUGCUAAUUGCAUCGCCCCUGCGUCCAUAAUCCACAGACCUUCAGAGAGCUUUUAGGGUUUUGCGAUAAGCCGUACAUAGAAUGUGUGAGAAGAUGAAACAAAAACGAAAAAGAAUGCACUUGUCGCCGUCGCCAAGCCUAAGAGAUGCUGUUCAACCACUGCUCAGCACAUCCAGUGGGCUGUGCUGGCUCAGCACCACCGAGCGGAUGACAUCAGGCCCAGUGGCUGCAGAGGAGCUUGGAUCCGAUGUGACCAUCUUUCGAGGACUUUUACUGACACGCCAGUUGUUUGUCCAUAAAGCCGUUGGAAAGAAUGGAAGCUGAAGCACGCAGAUGACGCAGGCCUGCAAUUUGAUGAGACCACCUAGAAUAAGAGGCCCCAUCUACAUAAUUUCGAUGAAAAAGCAAACCACCAUUGUCUAUAGCGCAAAUCUAAGACUUCUUUAGAUCAAUAGAAUGUAACUGACGAAUUUUUCAAUCCACAGAACCUUGUGUCAAUGGAAGAGUGCCAGCGGGAUCAGGGAGUUUCUGAGCCAUGUGAGGGACCUGCGAAAAUCAAGAAGAAGUAAUUGUCACUUGUCCGGAACUGAAACGGGAAUGCAGUUAGCCUAUUGUCCAGUUUUCCGGGCCCACAAGAUCAGCAGCAUCGCAAAAUGAGCCACAUCAGCCAACAUUCUCUAGAAGGUUCGAAAUAAUCUGCAACACAAUUGAUUCGAGCUGGUGAUCCGAGAGAGCGAGUCUUAAUCUGCCUGUGCGAAGCAGAGAAAAGAAGAAAUCCUGAGAGGCAAAGGAUUACGCCUGGUGCUGCAAACGGGGUCCAGAUGUGCGAUAAAAUUGGUUCGCACUGCGCAGAUCCAAGAUGGCGUCUGAAUGUGAUUUGGACCACUGUGGCCUUCCAGGAGGGAUGCUGAAGCCCUUUCUAAAUAGUGGAACUGACAGAAGAUCGAAGCUCGGCAGAGUUUUGCGCGCACCCACAGGCCGUUCCCGCACCAGUCAUCGUCUCGGACAGCGGCUGACAUUGAUGCAGGCAUCCGAGAACGAGAGAGAGAAGCGGAGCAGCGCGCGAGGUGAGUGACUAAGUCUGCACGGUUUAACGUCCCUGGUCCGCUCGCUGCUGUCAUGUCCAACCCUUUUGUGUCGAGUCACGUGGUCUUGAUGAUGAUUAAUCACCUUUCUUUGGCUGCAUGUAUGCGUGUGUGUGUGUUGCAACAGCAGGCAGGCCGCCGCCUGCUUGUGGUGUGCAUAAUGCACUGUAUACGACGAGGAGGGUAACAAAAAGCCGGUGUUCACUCAUUUGCGCGCGCGGAGCCAACGCAAAACGCGCUCGGCGCGCGGCACCCAUUGCUUGACGGACGGCGAUUUAUUGCCUGCCGCCGUAUCAAUCAAGCCAGCCCGCCGAAGAUCUCCGCGCCGAGAUUUUUGCAUGCCUGAUGAAUUGCAU